UAUGGAGUAGUUUAAUUGGAAAAACGAAGAACUUUGACUUCUUUAUUGUGGGUUCAAUCCCCAUCUCCCUAA
This 72-nucleotide transfer RNA is filed under the name Strongylocentrotus intermedius. RNAcentral's name for it is "tRNA-Gln". It matches the Rfam family "tRNA". Rfam says of the family: Transfer RNA (tRNA) molecules are approximately 80 nucleotides in length. Their secondary structure includes four short double-helical elements and three loops (D, anti-codon, and T loops). Further hydrogen bonds mediate the characteristic L-shaped molecular structure. tRNAs have two regions of fundamental functional importance: the anti-codon, which is responsible for specific mRNA codon recognition, and the 3' end, to which the tRNAs corresponding amino acid is attached (by aminoacyl-tRNA synthetases). tRNAs cope with the degeneracy of the genetic code in two manners: having more than one tRNA (with a specific anti-codon) for a particular amino acid; and 'wobble' base-pairing, i.e. permitting non-standard base-pairing at the 3rd anti-codon position. The record is from RNAcentral. Lineage: Eukaryota; Metazoa; Echinodermata; Echinoidea; Camarodonta; Strongylocentrotidae.